UGGCUCAGAACGAACGCUGGCGGCGUGCCUAAUGCAUGCAAGUCGCACGCAGGCGCCUUCGGGUGCCUGAGUGGCGCACGGCUGAGGACCACGUGGGAACAUGCCCGGUAGUGGGGGACAACAGCGCGAAAGCGGUGCUAAUCCCGCAUACGCUCGCAAGAGGAAAGCACUCGUGCGCUGCCGGAGUGGCCCGCGGCCCAUCAGGUCGUCGGUGUUGUAUACGGCCUACCNAGCCGAUGACGGGUAGCUGGUCUGUGAGGACAGACAGCCAGAC
This 274-nucleotide ribosomal RNA is filed under the name uncultured bacterium. RNAcentral's name for it is "partial 16S ribosomal RNA". It matches the Rfam family "Bacterial small subunit ribosomal RNA", at positions 20 to 313 of the family's 1533-position model. The record is from RNAcentral.